RNAcentral lists this transfer RNA (63 nucleotides) under Brachygluta helferi. Its description in RNAcentral is "tRNA-Tyr". It matches the Rfam family "tRNA". Rfam says of the family: Transfer RNA (tRNA) molecules are approximately 80 nucleotides in length. Their secondary structure includes four short double-helical elements and three loops (D, anti-codon, and T loops). The record is from RNAcentral. Lineage: Eukaryota; Metazoa; Arthropoda; Insecta; Coleoptera; Staphylinidae.
GGUAAAAUGGCUGAGGAUAAGCGAUAAACUGUAAAUUUAUUUAUGAAUUUAAUUCUUUUACCA